RNAcentral lists this ribosomal RNA (468 nucleotides) under uncultured bacterium. RNAcentral's name for it is "partial 16S ribosomal RNA". It matches the Rfam family "Bacterial small subunit ribosomal RNA", at positions 28 to 507 of the family's 1533-position model. The record is from RNAcentral.
GACGAACGCUGGCGGCGUGCUUAACACAUGCAAGUCGAACGGAAAGGCCCUGCUUUUGUGGGGUGCUCGAGUGGCGAACGGGUGAGUAACACGUGAGUAACCUGCCCUUGACUUUGGGAUAACUUCAGGAAACUGGGGCUAAUACCGGAUAGGAGCUCCUGCUGCAUGGUGGGGGUUGGAAAGUUUCGGCGGUUGGGGAUGGACUCGCGGCUUAUCAGCUUGUUGGUGGGGUAGUGGCUUACCAAGGCUUUGACGGGUAGCCGGCCUGAGAGGGUGACCGGCCACAUUGGGACUGAGGUACGGCCCAGACUCCUACGGGAGGCAGCAGUGGGAAAUAUUGCACAAUGGGCGGAAGCCUGAUGCAGCAACGCCGCGUGCGUGAUGACGGCCUUCGGGUUGUAAACCGCUUUCGCCUGUGACGAAGCGUGAGUGACGGUAAUGGGUAAAGAAGCACCGGCUAACUACGUG